GAUGAACGCUGGCGGCGUGCCUAAUACAUGCAAGUCGAGCGAACAGACGAGGAGCUUACUCCUCUGACGUUAGCGGCGGACGGGUGAGUAACACGUGGAUAACCUACCUAUAAGACUGGGAUAACUUCGGGAAACCGGAGCUAAUACCGGAUAACAUGUUGAACCGCAUGGUUCAACAGUGAAAGACGGUCUUGCUGUCACUUAUAGAUGGAUCCGCGUCGCAUUAGCUAGUUGGUAAGGUAACGGCUUACCAAGGCAACGAUGCGUAGCCGACCUGAGAGGGUGAUCAGCCACACUGGAACUGAGACACGGUCCAGACUCCUACGGGAGGCAGCAGUAGGGAAUCUUCCGCAAUGGGCGAAAGCCUGACGGAGCAACGCCGCGUGAGUGAAGAAGGUCUUCGGAUCGUAAAACUCUGUUAUUAGGGAAGAACAAAUGUGUAAGUAACUAUGCACGUCUUGACGGUACCUAAUCAGAAAGCCACGGCUAACUACGUG
Molecule: ribosomal RNA, 497 nt
Filed under: uncultured bacterium
Lineage: Bacteria
Description: partial 16S ribosomal RNA
Rfam family: Bacterial small subunit ribosomal RNA
Source: RNAcentral